RNAcentral lists this ribosomal RNA (467 nucleotides) under uncultured bacterium. RNAcentral's name for it is "partial 16S ribosomal RNA". It matches the Rfam family "Bacterial small subunit ribosomal RNA", at positions 29 to 507 of the family's 1533-position model. The record is from RNAcentral.
ACGAACGCUGGCGGCGUGCUUAACACAUGCAAGUCGAACGGAAAGGCCCUGCUUUUGUGGGGUGCUCGAGUGGCGAACGGGUGAGUAACACGUGAGUAACCUGCCCUUGACUUUGGGAUAACUUCAGGAGACUGGGGCUAAUACCGGAUAGGAGCUCCUGCUGCAUGGUGGGGGUUGGAAAGUUUCGGCGGUUGGGGAUGGACUCGCGGCUUAUCAGCUUGUUGGUGGGGUAGUGGCUUACCAAGGCUUUGACGGGUAGCCGGCCUGAGAGGGUGACCGGCCACAUUGGGACUGAGAUACGGCCCAGACUCCUACGGGAGGCAGCAGUGGGGAAUAUUGCACAAUGGGCGGAAGCCUGAUGCAGCAACGCCGCGUGCGGGAUGACGGCCUUCGGAUUGUAAACCGCUUUCGCCUGUGACGAAGCGUGAGUGACGGUAAUGGGUAAAGAAGCACCGGCUAACUACGUG